This 507-nucleotide ribosomal RNA is filed under the name uncultured bacterium. RNAcentral's name for it is "bacterial SSU rRNA". It matches the Rfam family "Bacterial small subunit ribosomal RNA", at positions 17 to 518 of the family's 1533-position model. The record is from RNAcentral.
UCCUGGCUCAGGAUGAACGCUAGCGGCAGGCUUAACACAUGCAAGUCGAGGGGCAUCGGGAGUAGCAAUACUUGCCGGCGACCGGCGCAAGGGUGCGUAACGCGUGAGCAACAUGCCCGUAUCAGGGGGAUAAUCCAUGGAAACGUGGUCUAAUACCCCAUAGUAAUUAUGUAAGGCAUCUUAUAUAAUUUAAAGCUUUGGUGGAUACGGAUUGGCUCGCGUGACAUUAGCUAGAUGGUAAGGUAACGGCUUACCAUGGCUACGAUGUCUAGGGGUUCUGAGAGGAAGGUCCCCCACACUGGAACUGAGACACGGUCCAGACUCCUACGGGAGGCAGCAGUGAGGAAUAUUGGUCAAUGGGCGGAAGCCUGAACCAAGCCAUGCCGCGUGCAGGAUGACGGCCCUACGGGUUGUAAACUGCUUUUCCCCGGGAAGAAUAAGCCCCUCGUGAGGGGUGAUGCCGGUACCGGGGGAAUAAGGAUCGGCUAACUCCGUGCCAGCCGCCGC